RNAcentral lists this ribosomal RNA (484 nucleotides) under Klebsiella sp. PP004. Its description in RNAcentral is "partial 16S ribosomal RNA". It matches the Rfam family "Bacterial small subunit ribosomal RNA", at positions 100 to 575 of the family's 1533-position model. The record is from RNAcentral. Lineage: Bacteria; Pseudomonadati; Pseudomonadota; Gammaproteobacteria; Enterobacterales; Enterobacteriaceae.
GAGGGGUGAGUAAUGUUUGGGAAACUGCCUGAUGGAGGGGGAUAACUACGGGAAACGGUUGCUAAUACCGUGCAAUGUCGCAGACCAAUUUGGGGGACCUUCGGGCCUCUGGCCGGCACAUGUGCCCAGAUGGGAUUAGAUGGACCGUGGGGUAACGGCUCACCUGGGGAGGUAUCCCUACCUGGUGCCACAGGAUGACCACCCACCCUGGAGGUGAAACGCGGUCCAGACUCCUAAGGGAGGCCCCAGUGGGGAAUAUUGCGCAAUGGGCGGAAACCUGAUGCAACCAUGCAACGGGUGUAAAAAAGGCCUUCGGGUUGUAAAGAAUUUUUUCCGGGGAGGAAGGCCUUUUAGGUUAAAAACCUUGGGAAUUGACUUUCCCCGCAAAAAAAGCACCGUAUAUACUCCGUGCCCCACGCCGCGGUAAUACGCGAGGGUGCCGCGCGUAAUACCGUGAAUUACGGGGCGUUAAAGCGCAUUUAUG